RNAcentral lists this transfer RNA (77 nucleotides) under Candidatus Undinarchaeales archaeon. Its description in RNAcentral is "tRNA-Ile". It matches the Rfam family "tRNA". From Rfam's summary of the family: Transfer RNA (tRNA) molecules are approximately 80 nucleotides in length. Their secondary structure includes four short double-helical elements and three loops (D, anti-codon, and T loops). The record is from RNAcentral. Lineage: Archaea; Nanobdellati; Candidatus Undinarchaeota; Candidatus Undinarchaeia; Candidatus Undinarchaeales.
GGGCCCAUAGCAUAGCUUGGUGGUGCGUUCGACUGAUAAUCGAAAGGUCAUGGAUUCAAAUUCCAUUGGGCCCACCA